Molecule: ribosomal RNA, 781 nt
Filed under: uncultured bacterium
Lineage: Bacteria
Description: bacterial SSU rRNA
Rfam family: Bacterial small subunit ribosomal RNA
Source: RNAcentral
AGAGUUUGAUCCUGGCUCAGAACGAACGUUGGCGGCGUGGAUUAGGCAUGCAAGUCGAACGAAUGCUGGCCUUGUAGCAAUACCGGGCCAGAGGAAGUGGCGAAAGGGGCAGUAAUGCAUGGAUAACCUACCUUGGGGAUGGGCAUAGCCGUUCUAACGAGCGGGUAAUACCCAGAGAUUCAGCGAAGGGGCAUCUCUUUGCUGGGAAAUGAGUUUCGCCUCGAGAGGGGUCCAUGUGCUAUUAGCUAGUUGGUGGGGUAACGGCCUACCAAGGCAAAGAUGGCUAGCGGGUGUGAGAGCACGACCCGCGCCACUGGCACUGAGACACUGGCCAGACACCUACGGGUGGCUGCAGUCGAGGAUCUUCGUCAAUGGGCGCAAGCCUGAACGAGCGACGCCGCGUGCGCGAUGAAGGCCUUCGGGUUGUAAAGCGCGAAAGUGGAGAGAAAGGGAAACUUGAUCAAUCCACAGUAAGGACGGGCUAAGUUCGUGCCAGCAGCCGCGGUAAGACGAACUGUCCAAACGUUGUUCGGAAUCACUGGGCUUAAAGGGCGCGUAGGCGGUCAAACAAGUCAGGGGUGAAAUCCUGCAGCUCAACUGUAGAAGUGCCUCUGAUACUGUUUGCCUAGAGGGAGAUAGGGGUGUGCGGAACUUCCAGUGGAGCGGUGAAAUGCGUUGAUAUUGGAAGGAACGCCGGAGGCGAAAGCGGCGCACUGGAUCUCUUCUGACGCUGAGGCGCGAAAGCUAGGGGAGCAAACGGGAUUAGAUACCCUAGUAGUCC